Homo sapiens (human) is the source of this 6166-nucleotide long non-coding RNA. Ensembl annotates it as small nucleolar RNA host gene 8. Its record names the gene SNHG8. Lineage: Eukaryota; Metazoa; Chordata; Mammalia; Primates; Hominidae. The record is from Ensembl.
CGGAAUAGCGUCAUCAGUUCUAUAAGAGAGCGUGUGCCGAAGGCCUCGGCCUUUCACAUUCGGGAAGCGUCGGGAUUAGGUGAAAGUACGUAGUUGUCUUUCGUAAGUUAAAAUGAUAAUUGGGCCGAAACUUACUGCCUUACCUAAAAGGCAGCGCAGUCAGGAUAUUGGUAGGUCGGGGGCGGCUUUGGAAACCCUUAAGUUUACAAGCAUGCGCGGACUUGAGUGCUCAUUAGGUCGCCGGGCGUCCACGUGCAGCCCUGGACCCUGAACCCCGGCGUGCGUGGGCCGUGGGCCCUCGGGGAAAGGUUCCGUGCACUCGGGGACUCCGGUGAAGCCUGUUCAGCCGUCUGUGUCAUGUGGCCAUCUUGAGUCUACUCUGUCGCUCUUGUGCCCUAGCACCCCGAGAACCGUCAGUUUGAGCCAGAUGGAAGCUGAGCUGAACACAUUACGAUGGAUGAUGGAAACAUAAGACUAUCAAGAAAUCCAAGUGGUAAUGGGCGAAGUUUAUUCAGCAUCCGGCAAUGGACUUAUCGUAGUUGGGGAAACGGGUGUUCCGAAUAAUAUCCUGGAAGUUAUCAGGACACCUAUUUUAAAUAUAGGCCUGAAUUUUGUAAAGUAAUAUUUAAGGUGGUCCGUGAUAAUUAAAUAAAAUGCUUAAUUCAUGUGGCUACUCAUUGUUCCUUGACUGAGUGAUUAAUAGACGGAAAGGUAGUUAAUAGCAUAAUACCUCCUAUUUAGUGUUACACGCUCAUGUGGAAGUAGUGUGAGUACAGUUCUAAGGUAAUUGCAGCCUUUGUGAAAAAUGUAAAAUAUAAAAAUUACCAGGCUACCCCCAAGGGAGACAGCAGACUCUUUUUAAACCAUACAAAAAUUUAAGGCAGUUAUACAAGGUGGAAAAUUAUGUAUUUAUUUACACAAAUAUGCACAGAACACUUGUAUCUUUCAAAAGUCACACUUAAGACAUAGUAAAAGCAUGUUGUAUGAACCAUGUAUUCUUAAGGAUUGAGCAAACUGCAGGCUGCUUGCUGCCUUUUAGGUUUGCUAGUCCCUGAUCUACUUGAAACAGAUGUUGCUUGCCCCAACACUAGUUUAAUUAUAAGGGCAGCCUGUGAGAAAGUUUCAAUAGACAUUUUUCUCACCUAUAUUGCACGUUUUUCUGAAGCCCUUGUGCAAGUGUGUGUGCCAUGUGUAGUUCUAUUUACAUAUAAACGCUACUUUAAAAGUUUAUCAAAAUCAUGAGUUUUUACAAAAGUUUUUAAUGCUCUUCUGCAUUAUAUGCAGCAUUGCAAAUCUGCAAAGUAGUAAAACUAUAAAGCACCUUUAGGUUUGCACCAGUUAUUACAGAAAUGGGGAUUUGUGAAAAGGAUGUAAUUUGAUGUAGAAGGGCAAAGUCCUUUAAUGACUGGCAUUCAAGAGGAUUACUUAAAACAAUUUGUAAGUUCAUGCUAACCUCUUCCCUAUAUUUAUACUACUGGGACCUGGGGAAGGAUCCAUGACAUGGAAGUAUCUUGAGUGUGCCUUUUAAAUUUGAGCAUUACUGCUAAGAAUGUUCUGUAAAGGUGCAUAGUUAAGCAGCUAUCCCUUAACUCUUGGAGAAAUAGCCAUAGGGAAACCAAUCAUUUAGGUAGGAGAACCAUGGGGAAAAAAAUCAGCAUUUUUUCUGGAGUUUGGAAUCAGUUUCACCAACUGGUCUCACUUUGAGGCAAGCCUGUUUUCCCCCAUUUGAAAACAAGGGCUACUACCAUAAGAUUUACUGGCCUUUUGCAAAUUGUCAGUGAUGUGCAAAGCUGCCUAAUGCAGUGCCUGGCAUAUGUUAUAACUGCUGUAUGUAUUAGAACUUUUCAAUGUGUAGGCCAGGAAAGCAUUUUGACUAGUAUAUUUUAAGAUUGGAUUGUAUCAGGUUGGGCUUGGGAAAACCUGCAGGUAUAAGUCAGUUACAGGGAAGUGUCAGUGGGUGGCACUCUUACAUCAUGGUCGGGGAACGUGGACUAUGAUGAGGUGCUUGUUAAAAGCAAAUAUAGUAGAUAUGUUAAUGUGUUGGAUAAAAUAGGUUGUAUGUCCAGCUGGCAUUUAGUUACCAGAAAUCCUUUCAAAUUUUGCUAGUUUAUACGCUGUAGGUAGAAAGUAUUUUUAUCUUAUGGUUUCUGUAGCACUUGGUACUCAACAAGGAUACUUGUUUCCAAAUAUCAGAUCACUUUGAGAAUAUAUUGUGACAGGCAGAUGUCCUUGAGGCUUUACUACUCCUAUUCAGGCCUAAAAGUUUAUAGUGGAAUUCUUUAACCACUGAUUUCCUCACUUGACAAAGGCUACAGAGAAUAUGAAGAUUUCUUGUCAAGUCUUUUGAAAAGACCUAAGCAUAAAUAUGCCACUCAUGAGUGUAGUAAAGGGUACCGCAUUUAUGUCAAAUGUGGGUAUUUAAUAUGAUUUCAGACACCACUGAUUCAAUUAAAAGGGGUUCUCAGUUCAAAUGUAAAAAUGAUCUUUUGUAAAAUCAGCAUAGAAUGAUUUUGAGAAAUAGGUAGGGGAUAGAUGAGGCUUAGAAUAAGUCACUCCAGUGAAAUUAGGGUAGAAAAUGUUCAUUUAAGGAUUAUCACUUCCACUACACUGAGGCCUCUGAAAAUGUUCACAAAUUUCUCAAAAGCAGCAGGGGGUACACAAUUUUUUACCACAACACAAAGCAAAAACAGAUCUUGCCAUUUGUUGUCAUCUCUGCUGAGUGCUAAUAGUGGGGGUUCAAAGUUUUCCAUUUGUUUAAAUGCUGCUUUGAAGUUUCCAUGAAGAAUUACAGUUUGGUGACACUUUUUAUCCAAGGUACAAAGGCUGAGACUUUGGUAUAAACACCAGGAGAAUCCUUGACUCCACAGCCAUACCCCCAGGAGGUCACCCCAUACACCACCCAGCUCUCUCCGGGCCGUUCACACAUGAGUGGUCCUCCGCUGUCUCCCUGGCAGCUGUCCACGCGUUUGUGUUCAUGGAGGUUUCCAGCACAAAGCAUUCUCCCUGUAAACCGACCCUUAUAACGUUCUUCACAAAACCUUUUAGGAAGUAAGGGAAUGGCUGCUUGUUGUAGUGUUCUUGAAUAGGCUCGUCCUACUCAGACCAAACAUCUGAUUAGUGGCAUUCCAGAUAACCAUCGCAACAUUUAACAGUUACUGAGCAUGUAAUAGUUAUGAAAAUAAAAUCCCUGUUGUGGCAUUAGUGUAGUUUAAAAUGAGCAAUGACUAACUGGUAUGUACUAUUGUUAGCUGCCUUUUUUAAUGUUGACACAAUCUUAACCUUCACAAAUUUCUCAGUACUGAAUUGUCUGAGGAAUAAUGAAUAACAUUUAUGGAUUUGUAGAGUAAGGUGACCUAAGAAAGCAUAUUUGUGCAGGCUUUCGUAUUUGAAUUCUGUAUAUUAAAAAGCAUAGAAUGCAUUAAUGCUGGUUUCGCAUUAGCACAUCAAUUCAUAUCUACUUCACUGAAUUAAACUGAGUUCUCAGUUUAUGCUAAAGUUCUCAUUAGAACCAACAAUACCUCCAGAAUAUAAGUCUCAAUUACAUGCAUGCAUUUCACACUAAGCAAAAUUUCUCCAAAUAAGUCUGAAUCCAUUUAAGAUCUUAUUGCCCAUUGCACACCCAAAUAUAUGGAUAAUACCAGACACAAAAAGGUGCCCUGCUUUUUUUGAUUAUGCCUUACCUGUGUCACCCCAUCCUGUUAUGUAACAGUUGGAUGCUGUUUUCUGUGGCCUCUCUCUCCAGAGUGGUAAACAGGCUGGCAAAACAUGGCUGCUGAAUCUGGCACAUUGCUCUUCUGGUCCUUGUAAUCUAACCAGGGCUAUGUCAUAAUCACUGCGGUCGGGUCGAUACUCCCGAUGAAUCACAAUCUGUUGAACUCCAAUUUCUUCCUCAAACUCCUCUGGUACCAGAGUAUGAUAAUCUCCAACCCUAACAGCAUAGCUCCUAGUGCUGUUGCCAUACCUGAGAGGCAGAGAGUACUAAUGAGAGACUUGCUUCAGAUACUGAAAAUUAUUGUCAAGAAGGAAGACUAAUGAAGAUACAAGCCUUUCUUCCAAAUCAUCAGCCCCUUUUGUAAAUUCAACCUUUCUUUCCAUUUAUCUGACCCACCAUUCCUGAUCCUCUACUGCAAACCCAUUGUCAUAACCUCAUCUUCAUUUCAUUAUGUAAUCUGUUCUCCAAGAAGGAGCAAAUGUGGAGGAUGAGUGGAAAAUAAAGACUAAUCAUUAAUCUGUCAUUUCCCAAAUGAAAAGCGAUCAAAACAGGAAUAGGUCAAAAUUAUUGUCCUGUGUUGUUGCCCUGUUAUUUCCAAGAAUUGUUAGUUUGUCAUGAAGCUCUGUGAGGGCAGAAACUAACUUUGUGUCCCUCAAAGUACUUAGUACAAUCGACUUCACUCUUGCAAGGUGGACUUAAACUACUUCCCUUUCCUCUAAAGUGAAUGCAAACCCAAACUAUACUUUCAGAUAAACAUAUAUUCCUUCUAUCCUUUCCCCUCUUUUAAAUCUUUAUUCAGAUGUCACCUCAAUGAAGCCUACUUUGACACCCUCGUAUUUAAAAUUGCAACCCAUCUUUCUUUUUCCUCCCAUCAUCAAACACUCCCAAUAUCAUUCAUCUCUACUUUUCCUCGUUUUUAAGCAUCACUUUGUAACAAAACUAUCUAAUUUACAAUUUAUUGCAUUUAUCCUCCUCCCUGCUUGAGUCAAAGCUAUUCCAGGUCAGAGAUAUCUUUGUUGUGUUCACUGAUUAAUCUAAAACACCUAAAAUAGUGUUGUGCCAUUAAUUAGGAAUGCAAAAAAUUGAUUAAGUUAGUGAAUGCUUAUUAUUAAUGUAUACUUUCUAUAGUCCAUUAAAAUAGAAGCAAUAUUUACCAGAUGGAUAGUUCUCAGCCCAUUUUUCAGCCAUCAUACUAAAGUAUGAUGAUUCUGAUACCAAACCCACCUAAAGCAGGGUUUCUCAAUCUCAGAACCUAUUAACAUUUUGGACCAGGUAAUUAUCUGUUGUGAGGGCUGUCCUGUGCAUUAUAGUGUGUUUAGAAGCAUCCCUGGCCCCUAUUCACUAGACGCCACUGGUACAUGGUACACAAACCCUCCAUCCCCAGUUGCGAUUACCAAAAAUGUCUCCAGACAUAGUCACGUGUUCCCUGUUAGGCAAACUGCCCCCAGUUGAGAACCUCUGACCUAGAAUGCAUGACACAACCCAUCUCCUAGUUACUUCCUCUUUUUCACAGAAGACUAGAGCUCCAUGCUCAUUGCAUUCCACUACUUAUAACAUUCUUAAGACUUAAUUUCCAAUAACUUUUCCUUUGUAGUUCCCUGACUUACUCAUCUGCAAUGAGUGUAUUCUCCACCUCAUCUCAGCCACACACUUACAAUGUAAAACCUAGACCUUGUAUUCACCAGGUAACCACACACCUCUGAAAUCUUGAUUUCACACAUACCGUUAUUUCUGCCUUCUGUUUUUACAGCUCUAAAAUCCUUCAAACCCAUUGGACUUCUAUCCUUUGGCCCUACUAUUUUUUCAUUUUAGUCUUUUAUGACUUCCCUUAUUAUCUGGCUUGGGUUCUACCGUCUGCCCAUUACAACAAUCACUCGAAAAACUACCCUGCUUGUCUUUUACCUGCCAAAACUCCAGCCCUGGUUUCAUCAGCUCUACCUAUUUUGUGCCGGCAUCUAACUGUUAAAGUGGGGAAGCACGCAUGUAACAACUUUCACCUUAAAUUUUUUUUAACCAAAACUUGGGUCUUUUAUUGUUUACAAGACCUGUACUUGAAUGUGAACUUAGAACUGAGUUGGUAUUCAAAAGCUUGGCAUUUUCUAGUGUCUAUUUAAAAUAAAACUUCCCACUUCUAUAAAAUUACUGGAGGUUAUGAGAUGCCUGAAUAUUCUAAUCCUUAAGUAGGGCUCUGACCAUCUCGUAUAUAUGAUUAACUGUCAGCGCUCAAAAACUAAACAGUGCAAUAAAGAUGAUUUGGCUUAUAUAGCCACCUACUGUUGAUCUUUAAUAUUAAUAGUUAAUCUGUGAUUUCUUGAGACUCAAUCUUAAAUCAUCACAUAUCUUUAAAGUUCAGAGGCUUUUUAAUAUAUUGUGCCUAAAGUAUAUGCUCUUAUAGCUUCCUUGAAAAUUUAAGUAAAAUUUAGGAUUAUUUCACAUACUGAACUAAAAAGUAAU